CCAAGUUUUAUCGCCUCAUUUUCCCUUUUAUAUCGAUUCAGAAUAGCCGCUUUUUUCCCUGGGAGAUGUAUCCCUUUUCGAAGUUUAUUUAGAAUAAGGGAAAGGCGAUUAGGGAAAAAACUCCCAGUAAAUUCACCCCUAUCGGGAAAAAUAUGUGGAAUUUUUAUUCCCAUGAGAUCUGAAUUCCCCUCGAAAGGGAUUUUACAAUCGUUAAACUCCCUCGAAAUAUUUGUUCCCUUCUUUAAUCAGCUGUUACAAGUUUUGUAAGGCUAUCAGUGCAUACUGAAUGAAAGUUAAAUAUAAAAAAAAAUGGCAUUGAAUUAAAAAGAGAAAAUGUUGAGAAUCGAAGGAAUAUUGUUGCUUCAGGAGGAAAAAACUGUGCAGCAUCGUAUCAUCCACAGGCGUGUGCGAGAUGCAUCUAACCUUUGGCGUUACCCCAUACAUUAUUCUCCCAGCACUAUAGAUUAAGUAAAGAUGCUUUUAAGUAUGUUCUGGAGGAGCUCGAGGAAAAUCUGCAGCCAUCAAAAACAUCGUCCGGAAUUCCAACAAUUUUAAAAUUAUAUGCUGUUACUAUUCAAUUCUUCAGUAAGACUAUUCCGAAAUUCUGUCAUUACGUCCUUUGAAAAUUUGUCAAAGCCACACGCAAUUGUCCUGUUAUUUCGCAUUUUGUUGAGCAAAAUCUCGUGUUGAUUUUUGUUAAAUAAGGCAUUAUUGUUCUAAUAAAAACACACAAAUACUUA
Molecule: long non-coding RNA, 740 nt
Organism: Stomoxys calcitrans (stable fly)
Lineage: Eukaryota; Metazoa; Arthropoda; Insecta; Diptera; Muscidae
Exons: 2
Source: RefSeq, a predicted model, not a curated record